This 269-nucleotide ribosomal RNA is filed under the name uncultured Staphylococcus sp. RNAcentral's name for it is "partial 16S ribosomal RNA". It matches the Rfam family "Bacterial small subunit ribosomal RNA", at positions 505 to 774 of the family's 1533-position model. The record is from RNAcentral. Lineage: Bacteria; Bacillati; Bacillota; Bacilli; Caryophanales; Staphylococcaceae.
GUGCCAGCAGCCGCGGUAAUACGUAGGUGGCAAGCGUUAUCCGGAAUUAUUGGGCGUAAAGCGCGCGUAGGCGGUUUUUUAAGUCUGAUGUGAAAGCCCACGGCUCAACCGUGGAGGGUCAUUGGAAACUGGAAAACUUGAGUGCAGAAGAGGAAAGUGGAAUUCCAUGUGUAGCGGUGAAAUGCGCAGAGAUAUGGAGGAACACCAGUGGCGAAGGCGACUUUCUGGUCUGUAACUGACGCUGAUGUGCAAAGCGUGAGGAUCAAACA